ACUCCAUGAAGCUGGAUUCGCUAGUAAUCGCGCAUCAGCCACGGCGCGGUGAAUACGUUCCCGGGCCUUGUACACACCGCCCGUCAAGCCAUGGGAGUCGGGAGUGCCUGAAGUGCGUGAGCGCGAGCAGCGCCCUAGGGCAAAACCGAUGACUGGGCUAAGUCGUAACAAGGUAAC
RNAcentral lists this ribosomal RNA (177 nucleotides) under uncultured bacterium. RNAcentral describes it as "partial 16S ribosomal RNA". It matches the Rfam family "Bacterial small subunit ribosomal RNA", at positions 1315 to 1500 of the family's 1533-position model. The record is from RNAcentral.